Molecule: ribosomal RNA, 2638 nt
Filed under: Cancer pagurus (edible crab)
Lineage: Eukaryota; Metazoa; Arthropoda; Malacostraca; Decapoda; Cancridae
Description: eukaryotic LSU rRNA
Rfam family: Eukaryotic large subunit ribosomal RNA
Source: RNAcentral
AGUAAGGGCGACUGAACUGGGAAAAGCCCAGCGCAUAACCUGGCGUCGUGACCCGGCGCCAGGGGUGUUGCGUUUCGGAGGGUCCGGCACGCAGUCUCUCACCGCCUAAGUUAUGCUUGAAAGCGGCCACUACCCAUGGAGGGUGACAGGCCCGUGUGGCGGCGCCCGCGAGGGUACACGAGAGAUUGUCGGAAAGGGCCUCUCCGUAGAGUCGGGUUGCUUGAAAAUGCAGCCCUAAGCAGGUGGUAAACUCCAUCUAAGGCUAAAUAUGACCACGAGACCGAUAGCGAACAAGUACCGUGAGGGAAAGUUGAAAAGAACUUUGAAGAGAGAGUUCAAGAGUACGUGAAACCGUUAAGAGCCAAACGGGUGGGACCUCGAAGGUCGAACCGAGGGGAUUCAGCUCGUCGGCCAAAGCCGGCUGGACGUUGGGAUUCGCUUAUGCGACCCAGGAACUCUUGGGCGUGCCCACGUUCAAGCCGGCGCCGGCGGGCGUAUUUCCCCUCGUGAUGUAGGUCGCCGCGACCCGUUGCUGGGGACGUCUAAGGCCCGGGCGGACUGGUACCCCAACGUCGUGCACUUUUUUAGUGCCGGCGAAGGGGGAAACCUCCGGUGUCCUGGCUGCCCUGCGACGGUCGUGUAGCAGAGGGGCGCAUCCACGCCAAUACUUCCUCUCGCGGCGUGCAAAAGGUCGGUGACCCACCCGACCCGUCUUGAAACACGGACCAAGGAGUCUAACAUGUGUGCGAGUCAUUGGGCGCACUAAACCCAAAGGCGCAAUGAAAGUGAAAGGGGGGUGUCCCGGCUUCGGUCGGUGGCGCCCUCCGGGGCCGAUCCCUGACCGGCCGAUGCCGCCGGGUCUUCCCAUACCAAAGCGAGGUCAUUCCAAAAGAGGUGCGCGGGGUGAGUCCCUCUCCCCCGUCGUCUACCUCUGGCUUCGUGGGUUGCCCGGCGCGCUCGGUGGUCCGAGCUUGCUCGCCUGUAUGCAGGGGGGCGCAGGCCCGGGACUUGCCAUACGACGCCGUCGCGCGAAUCUGUUGUUGGCCUCAUCGGCUCUGCUUGGGCUCUCGGUUGGUGUGCCGCGUGUCUUUGGGCGGGCUUUGGGCGGGGGCUUCACGGCUUCUUCCCGGGUUCGUCCGGCGCGGUUACGCCUUCUGAUCCUGCUCUGUCCGGAGUGGCCUAGCGCGUGUGCUGUCGGCAAGUACCAUGAGCAGACAUGUUGGGACCCGAAAGAUGGUGAACUAUGCCUGGCCAGGAUGAAGCCAGAGGAAACUCUGGUGGAGGUCCGUAGCAAUUCUGACGUGCAAAUCGAUUGUCAGAGCUGGGUAUAGGGGCGAAAGACUAAUCGAACCAUCUAGUAGCUGGUUCCCUCCGAAGUUUCCCUCAGGAUAGCUGGUACUCGCGGAAACAAAGGAGUUUCAUCCGGUAAAGCGAAUGAUUAGAGGUCUUGGGGACGAAACGUCCUCAACCUAUUCUCAAACUUUAAAUGGGUGAGAUGCCGAGCUUGCUUGAAUGCUGAAGCUUCGGCGACUAAUCCGAAGUAUCUAGUGGGCCAUUUUUGGUAAGCAGAACUGGCGCUGUGGGAUGAACCAAACGUCGAGUUAAGGGGCCUAAACGAAUGCUCAUCUAGACCCCAUCGAAAGGCGUUGGUUGCUAUAGACAGCAGGACGGUGGCCAUGGAAGUUGGAAUCCGCUAAGGAGUGUGUAACAACUCACCUGCCGAAGCAACUAGCCCUUAAAAUGGUAUGGCGCUCAAGCAUUCUCCCGAUACUCGACCGCCGGUGGCACUAAAGGCCAAGCUUCCCUCUUAGCGGGGGGAGGCCCAGGUCUCCAAGCCCCGGCGAGUAGGAGGGUCGCAGGGGUGAGCGCUGAAGGGAUCCGGCGUGAGCCGGCCUGGAGCCGCCCCUGGUGCAGAUCUUGGUGGUAGUAGCAAAUAGUCGAGAGAGACUUCCCUUGAAGGCCGAUGUGGAGAAGGGUUCCAUGUGAACAUCAGUUGGACAUGGGUUAGUCGCUCCUAAGCCCAAGGCUAAAGCCUUAUCCCACGCUAGAGGCAACGGCCAAGCGAGUCGCGGAGAGAGAGAGAGAGAGAGAGAGUGAAUUGAAUAAGAGAGAGACUAGUCUCUUCUAUAUAUAGUGUCUCUACUCUACUCUACUCUACUGCAAACAACAACAAAAUGAGAGAUUUUUCUCAGUUGCCAGUUGGGAGUUAGUGGCGAAAGGGAAUACGGUACUUAUUCCGUAACCAGGCCUGGAUGCCAACCGGGGCCCAGUUCCUUCUCGGGCUGGCCCUUGGUGCAGGAACCCGGUAACGGGAACCAACUCGCGUCCAUCGGCGGUGGUCCGGGGAAGAGUUUUCUUUUCUGUUUAAGGCGCCGUGACCCUAGAAGCCACUCGCAGAGCGAAAGGGUGUUGGUAACACGGUCUGCCGUAGAGCGCCGCGGUUCUUGCGGCGUCCCGCGUACCACUGCCGGUCCGUGAAACAUGCGAGGCAGGUAACUGCAUGGGGCGAAGCGUGGGAGUCUGCUGCUGUGGCGUCGCCCGUUUCGGCGGUGCGGUGCUCGCACGCACGCGGCUCCCGCGAAACACCCCAGUUUCGGGCCUGCGCGUACCCAUAUCCGCAGCCGGUCUCCAAGGUACC